RNAcentral lists this ribosomal RNA (469 nucleotides) under uncultured diatom. RNAcentral describes it as "SSU rRNA". It matches the Rfam family "Bacterial small subunit ribosomal RNA", at positions 217 to 699 of the family's 1533-position model. The record is from RNAcentral. Lineage: Eukaryota; Bacillariophyta.
GCCUAAAGAGAAGCUUGCGGCUGAUUAGCUUGUUGGUGAGGUAAUGGCUCACCAAGGCGACGAUCAGUAUCUGGUUUGAGAGGACGAUCAGACACACUGGAACUGAGACACGGUCCAGACUCCUACGGGAGGCAGCAGUGGGGAAUUUUCCGCAAUGGGCGAAAGCCUGACGGAGCAAUACCGCGUGAGGGAUGAAGGCCUAUGGGUUGUAAACCUCUUUUUUCAGGGAGGAACAAAAUGACGUGUACCUGAAGAAUAAGCAUCGGCUAACUCCGUGCCAGCAGCCGCGGUAAGACGGGGGAUGCAAGUGUUAUCCGGAAUCACUGGGCGUAAAGCGUCUGUAGGUGGUUAAGUAAGUCAACUGUUAAAUCUUGAGGCUUAACCUCAAAAUCGCAGUCGAAACUGCUUGACUAGAGUAUAGUAGGGGUAAAGGGAAUUUCCAGUGCAGCGGUGAAAUGCGUAGAUAUUG